CACUCAUCCAGAGAGGCGGAGGGACCGGCCCGAUGAAGCCUCGGCAACCUGGUUUAGUCAAGUAGUCAAUUGGUCGAGUGGUUAAAGUGGUUGCUGACCACGUGACGACGAGACCACCAGACCACAAGACUAACACCAAGGUGCCAAUUCCGGCAGAAAUUCUGGAAGAUGAGGA
This 175-nucleotide non-coding RNA is filed under the name Chloroflexota bacterium. RNAcentral's name for it is "Chloroflexi bacterium SAM-I sequence". It matches the Rfam family "SAM riboswitch aptamer (S box leader)". From Rfam's summary of the family: The SAM riboswitch is found upstream of a number of genes which code for proteins involved in methionine or cysteine biosynthesis in Gram-positive bacteria. The SAM riboswitch acts at the level of transcription termination control. The predicted structure consists of a complex stem-loop region followed by a single stem loop terminator region. Lineage: Bacteria; Bacillati; Chloroflexota. The record is from RNAcentral.